Long non-coding RNA from Acinonyx jubatus (cheetah), 935 nucleotides. RefSeq lists it as uncharacterized. The transcript has 3 exons. The record is from RefSeq and is a predicted model, not a curated record. NCBI's taxonomy places the organism in Eukaryota, Metazoa, Chordata, Mammalia, Carnivora, Felidae.
CAUUAUGAUCUCAGAUCCUGUCUUGGCUUCAGUUGCAUUGCGGGUCUCAAGAGAACGCCCACACCAGGCCAGGCCAGGCCAGAGGAGCACCGGUUGAAGUUCAGACCGGCUCUGGUCAAGUUCAGGCUGGUUCUGCUCAAAAAAAGACCUUCCCUUCCACGGAGGCUGAUUAAAACUGUCUUGCAGAGGACGCGGGCCAAGAAUUCAGGGGGUGGGGUGGGGGUGGGGGCAGGACAGAAACGUUCUUUAACUCCAUGUUCCUUUUUUGGGCUGUUUCCCAGCACAGCACCCUGAACGGCAUAGAUGCGUUUAACUGAACAGCAGUAGCUCUGUGAACUUAACAAAGAACAUUGAGCAGUCAGGAUCGUUGCAUUGCUACAUUGGCGCUCCUUUUUGUUAAUGCUUGUGAUCCCAUCGUAAUCUUAUGGAGGACUUUCCUGUGUCUUUGGCUCUCCGAAUAACCUUGUGAAGGCGAUAGAGCAGAGUGACUCCUUGACCAAAUAACUUUGAAUCGAUUGUAACUUUUCACCCUUGCAACUAAGUCCGUUAAUCACAAAAUGGUAAAUCAGAAGGUAGGCACUCUUAGCGGCAAAUUAUGAUUCAUCCGUGCUCCUGUGACGGGUAAUGUUAUUUUAUAACUGAGCUAAACUAAAGAAGUUAAGCUUUAUUUAGUCAAUCACUUUAAUGAACAUGAAAAUGGGAACUCUGGAAGUUCUAUGUCUUGAAUUGAAUCUUUUACUUCUGAAGAUUUCAGGCAAUAGCAACUGUCUCGACAGCAAAUGUUUGUAAGGAUGAUUCACUUUUCCUUUCUAUCUCAAGGAUCUUUCUGUGUUUUAAUUGCUGUUUUCCAUGCCUUUACUUUUGUUACACCUCAAUUGUAAUGAGACAAUUUUGAAAGGCUGCAGAGAAAAGAGGCAACUCGGUCAUCCUCUCGA